This 227-nucleotide unclassified non-coding RNA is filed under the name Hevea brasiliensis (rubber tree). Lineage: Eukaryota; Viridiplantae; Streptophyta; Magnoliopsida; Malpighiales; Euphorbiaceae. The record is from RNAcentral.
GAAAAAUAGAUCAUGACCAAAAAAUUGAAAUAUCAACAUUAAUUGAACUAACCACAUAAGCAAGAAUUCCAAUUCCGACUCCCAUUAACAAUCUUCCAAGGUCAAGUGACCAGGCACUCUGUGAAGAUUGCUUAGACAUUUAAAUUAUGCUUAAAAGCAAUAAAUAAAUAAAUAAAGUGAGACUGGUCAAUCUCGAGAGGGAAGAAAUCCACACCCAAAGGUCUUUU